CCUACGGGUGGCUGCAGUGGGGAAUAUUGGACAAUGGGCGAAAGCCUGAUCCAGCCAUGCCGCGUGUGUGAAGAAGGCCUUCGGGUUGUAAAGCACUUUCAGUGGGGAAGAAAGCCUUGGGGCUAAUACCCUCGAGGAAGGACAUCACCCACAGAAGAAGCACCGGCUAACUCCGUGCCAGCAGCCGCGGUAAUACGGAGGGUGCGAGCGUUAAUCGGAAUUACUGGGCGUAAAGCGCGCGUAGGCGGUCUGAUAAGCCGGUUGUGAAAGCCCCGGGCUCAACCUGGGAACGGCAUCCGGAACUGUCAGGCUAGAGUGCAGGAGAGGAAGGUAGAAUUCCCGGUGUAGCGGUGAAAUGCGUAGAGAUCGGGAGGAAUACCAGUGGCGAAGGCGGCCUUCUGGACUGACACUGACGCUGAGGUGCGAAAGCGUGGGUAGCAAACAGGAUUAGAACCCUGGUAGUC
RNAcentral lists this ribosomal RNA (464 nucleotides) under Vreelandella stevensii. Its description in RNAcentral is "partial 16S ribosomal RNA". It matches the Rfam family "Bacterial small subunit ribosomal RNA", at positions 338 to 795 of the family's 1533-position model. The record is from RNAcentral. Lineage: Bacteria; Pseudomonadati; Pseudomonadota; Gammaproteobacteria; Oceanospirillales; Halomonadaceae.